AUCGCUUCUCGGCCUUUUGGCUAAGAUCAAGUGUAAAAUCUUUUUUUCCUGUGCUAUGGCUCUAACCCAGGGCCUCACCCAUAUAAAGUAAACUCUCUACACCCCCACCCAUA
This 113-nucleotide small nuclear RNA is filed under the name Fukomys damarensis (Damara mole-rat). RNAcentral's name for it is "U2 spliceosomal RNA". It matches the Rfam family "U2 spliceosomal RNA". From Rfam's summary of the family: U2 is a small nuclear RNA (snRNA) component of the spliceosome (involved in pre-mRNA splicing). Complementary binding between U2 snRNA (in an area lying towards the 5' end but 3' to hairpin I) and the branchpoint sequence (BPS) of the intron results the bulging out of an unpaired adenosine, on the BPS, which initiates a nucleophilic attack at the intronic 5' splice site, thus starting the first of two transesterification reactions that mediate splicing. The record is from Rfam by way of RNAcentral. Lineage: Eukaryota; Metazoa; Chordata; Mammalia; Rodentia; Bathyergidae.